Long non-coding RNA from Galleria mellonella (greater wax moth), 603 nucleotides. RefSeq lists it as uncharacterized. NCBI's taxonomy places the organism in Eukaryota, Metazoa, Arthropoda, Insecta, Lepidoptera, Pyralidae. The transcript is spliced from 4 exons. The record is from RefSeq and is a predicted model, not a curated record.
UUCAAACCAUAAAAACUAUGCAAGCAUAUUUUUUUUUAAUGGAAUAGUGACUGUCGCGUACCGUUGGCACCUUUGAAUUUACUAUUCCACCCAUUACAAAAAAUCAAUGUCUACAACAUUAACAUGUGUUUGUCCAAGUACAAAAAUAAGACCCGUCCGUAGUACUAAUUAUUAUUGGCUUGUUAAGUGAUUAUGUAAAUUAUAUAAGCCAAUGCGGAAAUUUAGACCACCGAGACUUCAGUACUCUGAUAAAAAUUAUCCUGACCGGGACGUUUUAUAUACAUUUCGACGACUUUCCAAACCUGCGGAUAGAAUCGUAUCUGAAACGCCAACACUUGCAGGCGAUCCAACGACUACUUCGACGCCUGGCCAAGGAAUCCGAGAGGACGUCAUUGAAAAGUGGAACUAAAGGUCCAAACAAGAUGUUUACAAGGAUUGGUUAAGAAAUUCUGUUACCUAUUAAUUUAUUGUUAAAAAUUAAUAAAAAGAAUAAGUCACACAUAGUUAUUUUGUAUAAUUGAAAUAAAAAACAUGUUUUUAAAAACAGUGUAUAGGUUUGUCCGGAAAGUACGUAUAAAAGUUUUUUAAAAAUUUUAUUUUACA